GGGGACAGAUUGUGGUUCAGAGGUAGAGCAUCUGCCUUCCACACAGAAGGUCCCAGAUUCAGACUCAGGUGUCUUCA
RNAcentral lists this transfer RNA (77 nucleotides) under Sphaerodactylus townsendi. Its description in RNAcentral is "tRNA-Gly". The record is from RNAcentral. Lineage: Eukaryota; Metazoa; Chordata; Lepidosauria; Squamata; Sphaerodactylidae.